This 301-nucleotide ribosomal RNA is filed under the name uncultured bacterium. Its description in RNAcentral is "partial 16S ribosomal RNA". It matches the Rfam family "Bacterial small subunit ribosomal RNA", at positions 509 to 808 of the family's 1533-position model. The record is from RNAcentral.
CAGCCGCCGCGGUAAUACGUAGGGUGCAAGCGUUAAUCGGAAUUACUGGGCGUAAAGCGUGCGCAGGCGGUGUUGUAAGACUGAUGUGAAAUCCCCGGGCUCAACCUGGGAACUGCAUUGGUGACUGCAACGCUGGAGUGCGGCAGAGGGGAUGGAAUUCCGCGUGUAGCAGUGAAAUGCGUAGAUAUGCGGAGGAACACCGAUGGCGAAGGCAAUCCCCUGGGCCUGCACUGACGCUCAUGCACGAAAGCGUGGGGAGCAAACAGGAUUAGAUACCCGGGUAGUCCCUGUCUCUUAUACA